CCCUUUUUCCAGAUUUUUGUUGGAAUUGUUAUCCCUUUUCCUCCGAAUCAUUAUUGAAAGGCAGAUUAAUUUAUGAGCAUAUACCAACCAAGUUGUAAUGUUAUUGUGCAAAUUGGGUGAUGCUUCAGGCACAUUU
Drosophila melanogaster (fruit fly) is the source of this 136-nucleotide small nucleolar RNA. Lineage: Eukaryota; Metazoa; Arthropoda; Insecta; Diptera; Drosophilidae. The record is from Ensembl.